CCGAGUGUUAUGGGGUGUAUUGAUGGUACCCAUAUAAAAUUGUGGGACCAAAACACAAUAAGCACUCAUUUUAUAAUCGAAAAGGAUACUUUAGUUUAAAUGCUCUUGUUGUUUGUGACCAAAAAAUGAGGUUUCGAUUUAUUGAUGCGUCGCAUCCAGGAGCUUGUCACGACUCUUUAGUGUGGAACGUUUCGGAACUAAAGAGACAUAUUUGCAAUAAUCGCAGCAACUUUUGGAUGUUAGGCGACGCAGGAUAUCCUCUGGAAUCCUUCUUAUUAACACCUUAUAGGACACCUGAAGAGGGAAGUGUAGAAGCAAAAUUUAAUUUAGCUCAUUCUCGGUGCCGAAAUAUUAUAGAACGUGCAAUUGGGUUGCUUAAAAGCCGAUGGAGAUGUUUGCUUGGUGCUAGAGAACUUUAUUACAGCCCACAGAAAGCAGCUAAAAUAUUCAAUGUGUGCGUAAUGUUACAUAAUUUAUGCAUUCAUUUCAAAGAUCAAUUUGCUGAUAUCGUUGAGAUACCUGAUUGUGACGAAGAGGAAUCUCUAGUGACUAUGGAGGAGGACAACAUAGAUUUCGGAAUGCAAAGAAUGAGCGAAGCGCAAAGAAUUAGGAACCAAAUAGCUCACUCACUCCCUUAAAGCAUUAUUACUUCU
This is a long non-coding RNA of Bactrocera tryoni, 653 nucleotides long. RefSeq lists it as uncharacterized. The transcript is spliced from 3 exons. NCBI's taxonomy places the organism in Eukaryota, Metazoa, Arthropoda, Insecta, Diptera, Tephritidae. The record is from RefSeq and is a predicted model, not a curated record.